UACAGAGGUCUCAAGCGUUGUUCGGAUUCAUUGGGCGUAAAGGGUGCGUAGGCGGCGCGGUAAGUCGGGUGUGAAAUCUUGGAGCUUAACUCCGAAACUGCAUUCGAUACUGCCGUGCUUGAGGACUGGAGAGGAGACUGGAAUUUACGGUGUAGCGGUGAAAUGCGUAGAUAUCGUAAGGAAGACCAGUGGCGAAGGCGGGUCUCUGGACAGUUCCUGACGCUGAGGCACGAAGGCUAGGGGAGCAAACGGA
Molecule: ribosomal RNA, 253 nt
Filed under: uncultured bacterium
Lineage: Bacteria
Description: partial 16S ribosomal RNA
Rfam family: Bacterial small subunit ribosomal RNA
Source: RNAcentral